AGUAACGCGUGAGUAACCUGCCUUUCAGAGGGGAAUAACAUUCUGAAAAGGAUGCUAAUACCGCAUAAUGUCACAGUAUCGCAUGGUACAGUGACCAAAGGAGCAAUCCGCUGAAAGAUGGACUCGCGUCCGAUUAGCUAGUUGGCGGGAUAAAGGCCCACCAAGGCAACGAUCGGUAGCCGGACUGAGAGGUUGAUCGGCCACAUUGGGACUGAGACACGGCCCAGACUCCUACGGGAGGCAGCAUG
This 248-nucleotide ribosomal RNA is filed under the name uncultured bacterium. Its description in RNAcentral is "partial 16S ribosomal RNA". It matches the Rfam family "Bacterial small subunit ribosomal RNA", at positions 109 to 353 of the family's 1533-position model. The record is from RNAcentral.